Bufo bufo (common toad) is the source of this 247-nucleotide long non-coding RNA. RefSeq lists it as uncharacterized. Lineage: Eukaryota; Metazoa; Chordata; Amphibia; Anura; Bufonidae. The transcript has 3 exons. The record is from RefSeq and is a predicted model, not a curated record.
UUUAUUGGAUGGAUACAAAAUAUUUAUACCCAUUUUAUAGAACUCAAGGCACCACAGAUAUCGUCAUUUUAUGUAAGCAUCGCGUGAUUAAUAAUAAUGAUAAUAACUUAUUUUUGAUGUUUGCAAGUCAAGCACAUUUAAUUACAAAAAACCUUAUCUUAUCCUUGAGUUGUUUAUCCUUGAGAAGUAUCUAGAACCAGUUGUACUCCCAGAACAUCAGACACACAUAGAGUCAUGUGAAACAACU